UGGGAUAUAGCCAAGCGGUAAGGCAACGGACUUUGACUCCGUCAUUCCCCUGGUUCGAAUCCAGGUAUCCCAGCCA
Molecule: transfer RNA, 76 nt
Filed under: Gemella haemolysans
Lineage: Bacteria; Bacillati; Bacillota; Bacilli; Caryophanales; Gemellaceae
Also listed under: 23 other names
Description: tRNA-Gln(ttg)
Rfam family: tRNA
About the family: Transfer RNA (tRNA) molecules are approximately 80 nucleotides in length. Their secondary structure includes four short double-helical elements and three loops (D, anti-codon, and T loops).
Source: RNAcentral